GAUGAACGCUAGCUACAGGCUUAACACAUGCAAGUCGAGGGGCAGCACAAGGUAGCAAUACUGAGGUGGCGACCGGCGCACGGGUGAGUAACACGUAUCCAACCUGCCGUUUACUCUUGGAUAGCCUUCUGAAAAGGAGAUUAAUACAAGAUGGUAUCAUAAGUUCACAUGUUCAUAUGAUUAAAGAAUUUCGGUAAACGAUGGGGAUGCGUUCCAUUAGAUAGUUGGUGAGGUAACGGCUCACCAAGUCAGCGAUGGAUAGGGGUUCUGAGAGGAAGGUCCCCCACACUGGUACUGAGACACGGACCAGACUCCUACGGGAGGCAGCAGUGAGGAAUAUUGGUCAAUGGGCGAGAGCCUGAACCAGCCAAGUCGCGUGAAGGAUGAAGGUCUUAUGGAUUGUAAACUUCUUUUAUAAGGGAAUAAAAAAGAUCACGUGUGGUCUAUUGCAUGUACCUUAUGAAUAAGCAUCGGCUAACUCCGUGCCAGCCGCCGCAGUAACAC
RNAcentral lists this ribosomal RNA (504 nucleotides) under uncultured bacterium. RNAcentral describes it as "bacterial SSU rRNA". It matches the Rfam family "Bacterial small subunit ribosomal RNA", at positions 28 to 526 of the family's 1533-position model. The record is from RNAcentral.